CCUGAAGAUUUUGUCAUUUCUAGCUUAUUGAUCAACAUUUCAACUGAAAGUGUAUCUACAGUUGAAGAUCUCAAUAGCAAUAAGGUUGGUGUUGAAUUGGAAAAAUGUCUAGCAGCUAACACCUCACACUUAACAGGGAAAAGGCAAACAGAGUUUGUCAAAACAGGUAUUCCUGAACCAAGACAAACAAGUACACCGCCAACACCAAUUUUCAACAGUGAAGGCUGCCUAGUAUUCAGCAAAUUUGAUUUAGGAGAACUAUCUAAUCCCUCACCCAUUCUGAACAAGACCACUUUAGAUUCAAAAGUGGCAACAAAAAAAAAACUCAAAGCCAAAGUUAAAAUCUUGGAUGGCCAAGCUGAAGUUGAGAAUGCGAGAAGUAUUGAAGAGAAACGGGCAUGAAAAGGUGCCCUGCAAAUAGCCAAAGUCUUUCAGGUAAAAAAACAAUGUGGAAUUACUUGCUAAAUCUAUUAAGAAACAAGAUGAAAUCAAAUCAGAUAGUAAAAAGAAGUUGGCUGAACGCAUUGAAGAAUAGGAAAAGAGAAAGGAAUAACAACAGAAAACGAAAAAACCCAACAUUAAGAAAAAGAAAACUGAAAAGAAAGAACAUAAUCCGAAUGAACACCUCACACUUUACAGGGAAAAAGCUGUAAUUGUCUGAUAAGACAACGAAAAUCAAACUUAAACGGAAGCUAGAAGGAAUGAAGAAGAAAUUAAAAAGGAAAAGUAAGAAGAAGAGGUCCUGCAUUGCCAAACAUGCUCGAGCAACAAGGCAGUAUCUGUGUCAUCAACCUCUGGUCUUUCAGAGUUUGUUAAAACAGAAAUUCCUGAACCAAG
Long non-coding RNA from Daphnia carinata, 837 nucleotides. RefSeq lists it as uncharacterized. The record is from RefSeq and is a predicted model, not a curated record. Lineage: Eukaryota; Metazoa; Arthropoda; Branchiopoda; Diplostraca; Daphniidae. The transcript is spliced from 4 exons.